RNAcentral lists this ribosomal RNA (253 nucleotides) under uncultured bacterium. RNAcentral describes it as "partial 16S ribosomal RNA". It matches the Rfam family "Bacterial small subunit ribosomal RNA", at positions 524 to 776 of the family's 1533-position model. The record is from RNAcentral.
GACGUAGGGCGCGAGCGUUGUCCGGAUUUAUUGGGCGUAAAGAGCUCGUAGGCGGCUUGUCACGUCGGCUGUGAAAACCUGGGGCUCAACCCCGGGCCUGCAGACGAUACGGGCUAGCUAGAAUUCGGUAGGGGAGACUGGAAUUCCUGGUGUAGCGGUGAAAUGCGCAGAUAUCAGGAGGAACACCGGUGGCGAAGGCGGGUCUCUGGGCCGAUAUUGACGCUGAGGAGCGAAAGCGUGGGGAGCAAACAGG